UUUGUAGAAUUCUAAAUCAGGUAUAUGUGUGUGUUAUUCGAUUUAGAAUGAUAUAUAUAUAUAUAUUUAUAUAUAUUUAUUGCUAUUUUGUGUGAUUUUUCUUUGAUCUUUUUUUGUGAUAAUUUUCAUAUCAUGCUACUCGCUUGAGAUCGAAAAUUAUCGCUAGAAACUAAGCAGGCACGUGGUGUUGCUAACGAAAUUGACAUGAAAUUGACAACGUCUUCAUAGGUAAAAUAGCUAUAAACAGAUUAUCAUUGAUCAUAUCAACUCCAUUGCCUUUCUUGCUUUGGCCGUCCCGGCUCAAGCGAGAAAAUCAAUCUCGUUGAGAUGAUCAACGAUAAUCUAUAAAUAUAUAUAAAUACAGUCUCAUAUAUAAGGAAUUAUGAUAUCAGAAUCCUUUGUAGUACAUGUAUUGUGAACCAAUUUGUUGUGUAAAAAAAAUGUUGUGUUUGUAUGAUAAGAUAUUUUAGCAGUCAAAUGGAUUUUAAAAUGAACAAAAAGUUUUAAAUAAAAGACACAAGUCUUUAAGUCUAUUGCUCAAUGAUUAUUGUUUUAUAGAUUUAUUGUUAUACAAAUUGUACAUAUAUGUUUUGUUUUAUUGUAAUGUAUUUAUGUUAGGUAAUGUAUUUGGCCAGUAGUCUGAUUAUCCAGACAUAGAUUAAUUGAGAUACAUAUCAGUAUGUACUUGUAUUUUAGGAAGUUAUUUGUGGACGAAAAGAACUUUUAAUUUGUGAACUUUAUGAUGAAAUGUUAAAUUUGUUUACCAGUUCUUACUGUUUUCAUAUAUUUUGGGCAAAUUUGACUUCAAUUUUCUUGUUAUAGUUCAUGAAGUUGAUGUUUUGUAGCAUUCUAUGACUUAAUUUUUACCAUAAUUUAAAGUUUCAAGACUGUCAAAAAAUUCUAGAGAAUGUAUUAAGAUCCCUUCAUCUAAGUUUAUGAAUAUUUAUAAUAUUGUUUAAGAUACACUUCUUGAAAUUUAUACGUUUGGUUUACAUUCUUACAUACUUUAUUCUUUAUAGAAUGUAGGAAAAAUGAAAAUGGCACCUAAAAGAUAACAAAUGCUUAAACAAAUAUCUUAAUAUAAGAUCAACGUGAAUGUAUUUUUUUUAAAUGAACACAUUUUUAACAAGACCAUCAGUAUAACAAUUAAAAGUGA
RNAcentral lists this long non-coding RNA (1156 nucleotides) under Mytilus galloprovincialis (Mediterranean mussel). Lineage: Eukaryota; Metazoa; Mollusca; Bivalvia; Mytilida; Mytilidae. The record is from RNAcentral.